Molecule: ribosomal RNA, 364 nt
Filed under: Theromyzon bifarium
Lineage: Eukaryota; Metazoa; Annelida; Clitellata; Rhynchobdellida; Glossiphoniidae
Description: partial 12S ribosomal RNA
Source: RNAcentral
UAAUAACCUAUUAAAAGAGUUGGAAAGUACGAACAACAGUUUAAACACCAAAGAAUUUGGCGGUAUCUUAUUUAAUUAGGGGAACCUGUCCCAUAAUCGAUAAUCCACGAAAGUCUUACCUAGUUUUGAAAUUCAGUUAGUGUACUGCCGUCUCAAGUAUACCUUUAUGAGAGUAUACUAUAAAUUAUAAGCAAAUAAGACGUCAGGUCAAAGUGCAGCCAAUAAUUAGGAAGGAGAUGGGUUACAAACUUAAUAAAGACACGGAAAAGUAUAAUAAAUUUAUAUUUUUAAGGUGGACUUAAUAGUAAUUAAAUAGUAAUUUAAUGAAUAUAAUACUAAGAUAUGCACACAUCGCCCGUCACUC